AGUGCCCUGCGCUGCGCGUGAGGUUCCAGUCAACGUGAGCCAACACCACGUGACCGGGAAUCCGGCUUCCGUUGGGGUCGGCAUACCCACGCAUGCACGGGAGGCCACCCCCCCAUCGGAGAGGGUACCCACCUGUUGAGGGAGGGUUCAGCGUGGACGGAGCCCACGGCAGCGGCGGGGCGUUU
This 185-nucleotide non-coding RNA is filed under the name Candidatus Omnitrophota bacterium. RNAcentral describes it as "6S RNA". It matches the Rfam family "6S / SsrS RNA". From Rfam's summary of the family: E. coli 6S RNA was the first non coding RNA to be sequenced, but its function was unknown until recently. Lineage: Bacteria; Pseudomonadati; Candidatus Omnitrophota. The record is from RNAcentral.